Molecule: ribosomal RNA, 497 nt
Filed under: uncultured bacterium
Lineage: Bacteria
Description: partial 16S ribosomal RNA
Rfam family: Bacterial small subunit ribosomal RNA
Source: RNAcentral
GAUGAACGCUGGCGGCGUGCCUAAUACAUGCAAGUCGAGCGAACAGACGAGGAGCUUGCUCCUCUGACGUUAGCGGCGGACGGGUGAGUAACACGUGGAUAACCUACCUAUAAGACUGGGAUAACUUCGGGAAACCGGAGCUAAUACCGGAUAACAUGUUGAACCGCAUGGUUCAACAGUGAAAGACGGUCUUGCUGUCACUUAUAGAUGGAUCCGCGCCGCAUUAGCUAGUUGGUAAGGUAACGGCUUACCAAGGCAACGAUGCGUAGCCGACCUGAGAGGGUGAUCGGCCACACUGGAACUGAGACGCGGUCCAGACUCCUACGGGAGGCAGCAGUAGGGAAUCUUCCGCAAAGGGCGAAAGCCUGACGGAGCAACGCCGCGUGAGUGAAGAAGGUCUUCGGAUCGUAAAACUCUGUUAUUAGGGAAGAACAAAUGUGUAAGUAACUAUGCACGUCUUGACGGUACCUAAUCAGAAAGCCACGGCUAACUACGUG